Molecule: non-coding RNA, 106 nt
Organism: Solenopsis invicta (red fire ant)
Lineage: Eukaryota; Metazoa; Arthropoda; Insecta; Hymenoptera; Formicidae
Source: Rfam
GUGUUGUAUGAAAGGAGAGACGUUUAGCACUCCCCUAGACAAGGAUGGACACACAUAUGUAAUGGUAGGCACUGUCGUCAUAUGGCGACACUACCAAACAUUUUUU